CAUGAACCUUAUCAUUUAGAGGAAGGAGAAGUCGUAACAAGGUUUCCGUAGGUGAACCUGCGGAAGGAUCAUUGUCGAGACCCGAGGAUAAAGGAAAGACCGGCGAACCCGUCGACCGAACGAACCGCCGCGGCGGGGUGCGGGAGCGCUCCCCUCCCCGUCGGACGGACCCAUCCGUGUCGCCGCUCCGCUCCCCCGCCGGGGGACGGCGGCGGACGGACGGACGGACGAACCCCGGCACGGCACGUGCCAAGGAUAUUCCUCGCCAGCGCGGCACGGUGGCGGGACGGCGAUGUGCUCGCCGUCCCCCGCUCCCGUCCGCGGGUGGCAAUGAAAAGUUUCAUCCAUGAUGACUCUCGGCAACGGAUAUCUGGGCUCUCGCAUCGAUGAAGAACGUAGCGAAAUGCGAUACUUGGUGUGAAUUGCAGAAUCCCGCGAACCAUCGAGUCUUUGAACGCAAGUUGCGCCCGAGGCCUCUCGGUCGAGGGCACGCCUGCCUGGGCGUCACGCCUCGCGUCGCUCCGUGCCCCCGCGGUAUGGGUCGGACGGAAGCGGAGAUUGGCCCGACCGUGCCGUGUGCGGCGGGCUGAAGUAAGGGACGCCGACGGGGUGUGGGGACACGGCGAGUGGUGGGCGGAAGUCUCUUGCCGUGGCCGACGUCGUUCCCCCUCCCCGUAUCGUGCCCGGAGCAAAGGCCGCGCGGUCUGUCGCGUGGCCAUGAAGGGACCCUCGAGGGCGGACGGGCCGUCCGUCGGCCUCCCCUCGCAUCGCGACCCCAGGUCAGGCGGGACCACCCGCUGAGUUUAAGCAUAUCAU
RNAcentral lists this ribosomal RNA (816 nucleotides) under Campylosiphon purpurascens. Its description in RNAcentral is "eukaryotic LSU rRNA". The stretch from base 352 to 507 matches the Rfam family "5.8S ribosomal RNA". The record is from RNAcentral. Lineage: Eukaryota; Viridiplantae; Streptophyta; Magnoliopsida; Dioscoreales; Burmanniaceae.